This 482-nucleotide unclassified non-coding RNA is filed under the name Artemisia campestris. RNAcentral's name for it is "partial external transcribed spacer". The stretch from base 430 to 482 matches the Rfam family "Eukaryotic small subunit ribosomal RNA", at positions 1 to 53 of the family's 1831-position model. Lineage: Eukaryota; Viridiplantae; Streptophyta; Magnoliopsida; Asterales; Asteraceae. The record is from RNAcentral.
UCCGUAAAGGUGGAUGAGUGGUGUUUGGUUUGUUACGUGUGGUUGGCUGCGGCGUUUGCAACAACUUCCAUGCUCUCAGACCUCUUCAGUUGUGCGGCAAGGCUUGUAUCGCCUUGAGCGUAUCGUGGGUUUUCUGUGUUGGCUACCUAAUCGACGGUAUCGUUUGGAUUGAUCAAAGUGUGAUUUCGUCUUCCGUCGCGUUUGCGGCGUGAGGUGAACCUUGACGCGGUCUCUUUGAUCCAUCUCGUCGAAGCAUAUGCUUUGACGUUGUGGCACAUUGGGCAUUGCUUGGUCUCUUGUGUACGGAACACGUAGCGGGCAUGGAUCUAACGAUUCUUGUUUGCCCUCAUAUUAGCGUAACGCUUCUCAAACACGACUUGCAUCGCGUUUUAGCUCGUACGGACGUGGUGCUAUGUCGCAGAGGAAUGCUACCUGGUUGAUCCUGCCAGUAGUCAUAUGCUUGUCUCAAAGAUNAAGCCAUG